This 22-nucleotide non-coding RNA is filed under the name Rattus norvegicus (Norway rat). The record is from RNAcentral. Lineage: Eukaryota; Metazoa; Chordata; Mammalia; Rodentia; Muridae.
AUCUCAAAGUUACAUGCCCCCA